UGACCUCAGGUGAUCCACCCGCCUCAGCCCCCCAAAGUGCUGGGAUGAUAGGUGUGAGCCCCUGCGCUUUGCCAGGGCUGGUUUUUGGAUGUGAUUCUCAGGGCCGUCUUUCUUUACCCUUCUGCUCUGCUGAGGCCCACAGCAGCCUAGUCUCCUUGGGUGUGGGGGAAGGGUUUAAAUCUAUUCAUAUAUCGCAGAAGGUGAAGCCUUUUGGUGUUCAGCUUAACAUGGGAAACAUUUCCUAUAAAACGCCCCAUCUUAGGUCGACCCUGCCGUUGUCCCUCACAGAACUGGACCAAAGUCUGAAUGGACGCAAUUGACACAUAUCUCAGGGUGUUAGUGGUUUUGGUCCUCUGACAUUCUAUUUACAUGUCUGGUGUUAGGUAGGAUUUCUUCUAAAAAUUGGCCUGGAGCUCCUUCCCACCCCCCACCCUGUUAAAUUGUUUCUCAAGAUCUGAGUGACAGUAGAGAAAUACCAUAUUCCUGAAUAGGAAGACUCAAAAUCAUAAAUGAAUAUUCUCUGUAAACUAAAUUACAUAAAUUACAUAGUCAUCCUAAAUUGAUACAUAAAUAUAAUGCAAUUCCAAAUAAUUUUUGUAGCUUUAUGUGCUGAUAUCUGAUAGAGCAAGUCUCUGCUUGUUAUUAGUUUUCCCCCCAAAAGCCUUGACUAUCUUCAAGGAUUUGUUAUUCUAGAUCAUGUGUCAACAAACUAUGGGCCCAUGAUUCAAAUCCAGAUGGCUAUCUGCUUUUGUAAAUAAAGUUUUAUUGAAGCACAGCCACACCCAUUUGUUUAUAUAUUGUCCAUUGGCUGCUUUUGAGCUAGAUUUGAGUAGUUGCAACAGAAUCCAGAUGACCUAGAAACCUCUAAUGUUUUCUGUCUGGCCCAUUAUAGAAAAAGCUCACCCAUCCUAUUCUUGGUGGUGGUUAAGGAAGCUGACUGUAUUCAAAUUCUACCUCCUGCCACUUACCAGCCAUGUGACCUUGGGGAAGGUGUGUGUGUGAGUGUGUGUGUGUGUAUGUGUGUGUGUGUGUUUCCUGGUAUUUACUAAGCUCUAUUGAUGGUGUCUUUUCAGGUAGGCUUUGUAGUUUUCUUUCUAUUUUUUGCACGUUAAAAAAAAAUUAAUCUAUGAUGCUUUAUGGUUUUUUCUUUUUCUUUUUUUUUUGUCAUUGUAAAUGACACUUUUUCCAUCUCUCCACAUCCUAGCUAUGGUGUUCAGCCUUUUUUGAGAAUUGAAGUGAUUGGCUUUGUCUACAUUGUUACAUAAUUGCAACUGAUCAUACAUGUGGGAUGUCUUGUUACUAUCAUAUGACAUGCAGACAAUUUAGCAACAUGACACUCACUGAUGUCAUAGUAAGAAAUUGUAAUGGGAACCCAGGUAUAGACAAAAGAUUAGACAAAGGAUUCUAAAAAAAGGCAUCUUUCAUAACUACACCAUUUAUUCUGGGUGUGCCAGUCAGGAUAGGCAAGGUUAGGCUGCAAUAACGUACAGUGCCAAAACUUCAGUAGCUUAAAACAACGAAGGCUUAUGAGUCACUUUCAAGUCUAAAGCAGGUUUCUGGGUUGGGGAGGGGUAUUGGGGAUCUGCUCCUUGUGGUUAAUGGAGCCAGGCUGAUGGAGCCUCCAUAGCAACACUUGCUUCCUUCUAGAAGAAGGAAGAGGAUGUGGGGAGUCAUGCGCGAGCUUCCACCAGGAAAUGAUAAACAUCACUUCCGCUACUGUUUCAUGGUUCAAAGAGAAGGCAAUAUGAAGAUAGAGACAAUGGAGAUUUUAAAACGUUGAUUGGUGGAGACUGGAAAGUUGUGGUCAGAAGCCAAGGAAUGCUGACAGCCACCAUAAACUGGAAGAGGGUCUUGCUCUAUUGCACAGGAGUGCAGUGGUACAAUCAUGGCUGUCUGCGGCCUCAAUCUCCCUGGCUUAAGCAAUCCUCCUGCCUCAGCCUCCCAAAGUAGCUGGGACUACAGGAAAAGUGUCAGGCCCAUUGAAGUUACCACGUGCCAUGGCUGUGAGUGCCUUCACUACUUGGAGUAGGCUCAUCAGUAGACAACCCUC
This 2050-nucleotide long non-coding RNA is filed under the name Homo sapiens (human). Its description in RNAcentral is "HSALNT0401145". Lineage: Eukaryota; Metazoa; Chordata; Mammalia; Primates; Hominidae. The record is from RNAcentral.